This 497-nucleotide ribosomal RNA is filed under the name uncultured bacterium. RNAcentral describes it as "partial 16S ribosomal RNA". It matches the Rfam family "Bacterial small subunit ribosomal RNA", at positions 28 to 507 of the family's 1533-position model. The record is from RNAcentral.
GAUGAACGCUGGCGGCGUGCCUAAUACAUGCAAGUCGAGCGAACAGACGAGGAGCUUGCUCCUCUGACGUUAGCGGCGGACGGGUGAGUAACACGUGGAUAACCUACCUAUAAGACUGGGAUAACUUCGGGAAACCGGAGCUAAUACCGGAUAAUAUAUUGAACCGCAUGGUUCAAUAGUGAAAGACGGUUUUGCUGUCACUUAUAGAUGGAUCCGCGCCGCAUUAGCUAGUUGGUAAGGUAACGGCUUACCAAGGCAACGAUGCGUAGCCGACCUGAGAGGGUGAGCGGCUACACUGGAACUGAGACACGGUCCAGACUCCUACGGGAGGCAGCAGUAGGGAAUCUUCCGCAAUGGGCGAAAGCCUGACGGAGCAACGCCGCGUGAGUGAUGAAGGUCUUCGGAUCGUAAAACUCUGUUAUUAGGGAAGAACAAAUGUGUAAGUAACUAUGCACGUCUUGACGGUACCUAAUCAGAAAGCCACGGCUAACUACGUG